GCGUGAUUGAGGUAGGAUCUGUUUUUUUCCUUUCAAAAUUAUGUUUUUAUUUACACUAGGACGUUUGAUUUAGCUAAGGUCCUUAGUAAACCAUAAAAAAUUUUUGUUAUUUUAUAUUUUAAAAAAUGAAUGAAUUGUUUAUACUCAUAUACCUUCACUUAUGUCCCCUUAGUUAUAUGUGGGAAGACAUAUUAAAUAUGUCCAGCAGGUGCUGAUCCAGCCAUUUAUAAAAGGGGGGUUGAUAACCAAGGAUAAUGGGGGAGGGAGGGUUGGGGUGUCCAAAAAUAUGUCCCCAUUCAAGUGCAUUGGGUUUUUUUUUCAAAAGGGGG
This 329-nucleotide long non-coding RNA is filed under the name Mytilus galloprovincialis (Mediterranean mussel). Lineage: Eukaryota; Metazoa; Mollusca; Bivalvia; Mytilida; Mytilidae. The record is from RNAcentral.